AUGGCCAACACUACAAUGGGAAGUACCACUCGAUCAUGCGAUGCGUACCUGCUGUUCAAUGGCGAAACACUGCUUCCAAAUGGUGUUCGUGCUUUCCUUUGUACUGUUGCCCUAGCGUACUGUUUUAUUGGUUUAUCCGCGAUCACUGCCCGGUUCUUCAAGUCGAUGGAGAGCAUCACAAACCACUCUCGGGAGGUAGUUACAAUUGAUACAGAAACAAAUACGCCUAUCGUGAAGCAUGAGAAGGUUUGGAACUACACUAUAGCGGACAUUGCUCUGCUUGCUUUUGGUACCAGCUUUCCCCAGAUCUCCCUCGCAACAAUCGAUGCAAUCCGUAAUCUCGGUCAACUGACAGCAGGAGGUUUAGGUCCAGGUACACUUGUGGGUUCUGCUGCGUUUGAUCUGUUCCCGAUCCAUGCUGUCUGUGUGGUUAUGCCAAGGGCAGGCUCUAUGAAAAAGAUUUCCGAUUUAGGUGUUUGGUUAGUUGAGCUGUUUUGGUCAUUCUGGGCAUACAUCUGGCUGUAUAUUAUUUUAGAGGUGUGGACACCUAAUGUGAUCACCCUCUGGGAGGCCCUGCUAACAGUUUUGCAGUAUGGAUUACUUCUGGUUCAUGCGUAUGCGCAGGAUAAGCGGUGGCCAUAUGUGUCAAUCCCUUUGGUCAGAGGUGAGAGACCUGAAGAUUGGGUUCCAGCAGAAGAUACUUCACUUCACCAUGACAAAAAUUGUGAUGAAAAUAGUGACAUACUACCCAGCGAGAAUGAUGAUGUUGUGGAUGUAUUCUCCUUUCGUUCUUACAGCAAUGCAGGGUAUCAUCAUGUUCCGGAAAAGGAUAUAGAAGAGUCGUCCAAAACAAUGCUUGUAGUAAAGAACACACAAGAGGAUACUUACUGGCUUUCCGUUUGGCGGCAACAAUUUGUGGAUGCUGUAAUGCUGGAGAGUCCCGAGCUAAAGAAAAUGGAUUCUGUCUGCCUGAGAUUUAUCUUAAUAUGUUGGAACUCAAUCAUCGCACCUUGGAAAUUGUUGUUUGCUCUUGUGCCCCCGUAUCAAAUCGCACAUGGAUGGAUUGCUUUUAUUUUCUCUCUGAUCUUCAUAAGUGGUAUUGCCUAUGGGGUCACCAAGAUUACAGACCAGAUAAGCUGUGUCACAGGACUAAACCCAUAUGUUAUAGCAUUCACAGCGCUGGCUGCUGGAACCUCAUGGCCGGAUCUAGUCGCUAGCAAGAUUGCUGCCGAGCGUCAAGUUACUGCAGACUCUGCAAUUGCCAACAUCACUUGCAGCAAUUCAGUGAACAUAUACGUUGGCAUUGGUGUUCCGUGGUCGAUCAACACAGUGUACAAUUUCUUUGCCUACCAGGAACCACUGUACAUAGACAAUGCUGCUGGUCUCAGCUUCUCACUUCUGGUCUUCUUCGCAACAUCUUUUGGUUGUAUCACAGUUUUGGUUCUCCGCCGCAUAGUAUUUGGUGCUGAGCUUGGGGGCCCUAGGCUGUGGGCUUGGGCAACAUCGGCUUAUUUCAUGGUCCUUUGGGUUGUUUUUGUUCUACUUUCUUCUUUAAGAGUUUCUGGGGUAAUAUAG
RNAcentral lists this ribosomal RNA (1575 nucleotides) under Triticum aestivum (bread wheat). RNAcentral's name for it is "partial small subunit ribosomal RNA". Lineage: Eukaryota; Viridiplantae; Streptophyta; Magnoliopsida; Poales; Poaceae. The record is from RNAcentral.